GGAAGGGGUGUAUUUAUUAGAUUAAAAACCAUCGUCUUCGGACUUCUUGGUGAUUCAUAAUAACUAAACGUAGCGCAUGGCCUUGAGCUGGCGCAAAAUCAUUCAAAUACCUGCCCUAUCAAGCUUCGAUGUGAGGGUAGUGUCCUCACAUGCUUUUGACGGGUAACGGGGAAUUAGGGUUCGACUCCGGAGAGGGAGCCUGAGAAAUGGCUACCACAUCCAAGGAAGGCAGCAGGCGCGCAAAUUACCCAAUCCCGACUCGGGGAGGUAGUGACAAGAAAUACCGAUACAGGACUCUUUUGGGUCUUGUAAUCGGAAUGAGUACAAUUUAAAACCAUUAACGAGGAACAAUUGGAGGGCAAGUCUGGUGCCAGCAGCCGCGGUAACUCCAGCUCCAAUAGCGUAUAUUAAAGUUGUUGCAGUUAAAAAGCUCGUAGUUGAACCUUGGUUUUGGCUAGCCGGUCCGCCUCACCGCGUGUACUGGUUUGGCCGAAACUUUCCUCUUGGAGAACCGCAUGCCCUUUACUGGGUGUGUUGGGGAACCAGGACUUUUAC
RNAcentral lists this ribosomal RNA (555 nucleotides) under uncultured fungus. RNAcentral describes it as "SSU rRNA". It matches the Rfam family "Eukaryotic small subunit ribosomal RNA", at positions 194 to 755 of the family's 1831-position model. Lineage: Eukaryota; Fungi. The record is from RNAcentral.